Molecule: ribosomal RNA, 504 nt
Filed under: uncultured bacterium
Lineage: Bacteria
Description: partial 16S ribosomal RNA
Rfam family: Bacterial small subunit ribosomal RNA
Source: RNAcentral
AGUGAACGCUGGCGGCAGGCCUAACACAUGCAAGUCGAACGGCAGCAUUGUACGGGCUCGUUCUACCGGGUGGCGAGUGGCGGACGGGUGGGGGAUACAUCCGUAGCUACUUUUUCUGGGGGCGGGGCAUAGGGAAUCGUACCGAAAUCUAGUAUAGGAUCUAAUUGUGUAUUCAAGGGAUCUUGGGUGAUUGCUCGAUUGGAUGAGCUGCUAUCUGAUUAGAUGUUGGAUUGGCUAGUUGGUGGGCAAAAGGCCCACCAAGGGGACGAUCCGUAGCAGGUCUGAGAGGAGGAUCAGCCACACUGGAACUGAGACACGGCCCAGACUCCUACGGGAGGAAGCAGUGGGGAAUAUUGGACAUUGGGCGAAAGCCUGAUCCAGACAUACCGCGUGGGUGAAGAAGGCCUUCGGGUUUUAAAGCCCGUUUGUUGGGAAGGAAGGGCAGCAGGUUAAUACCCCGCUGUUCUGACGGUACCCAAAGAAUAAGCACCGGCUAACUUCGUG